AAUAACAUUCUUAUGUAUAUUGACAAUAUACCUGUUCCCAUGGAAAGAUAUAGAUAGAUAAACGUGUAUUGUAUGUUUUGGUAUAUAUAAUACUGUGGAUGACUACGUACAAAGGGAUGCUGUUAUUGCCAACCAAUCUCAAGGACAUUAUUCUGGAACAAUUAAAAAUACAAGGAAGCACAUUCAAGUGCAAAAGUCACAAACAUUGUUGGUAGACUAGCAUAUGUAAUUCUCAAGGACAUUAUUCUGGAACAAUCAAAAGUACAAGGAAGCACAUUCAAGUGCAAAAGUCACAAACAUUGUUGGUAGACUAGCGUAUGUAAUUCACUGUGGAUAUUAUUGGUGCAUAGAAAAUAUUUUUGCUUGUAAAUUCUUGUUGAAUGAUUAGAAUAAAGAAUUGUGGUUCGGGAUGAAGUCUCCAUAAAAUGUCAACUUCAGGCCCAUAGACUCAAUAUAUGUCACACAUAAUAUAUCUAAAUUUAAGGACUGGCCAUGGGGGUUUACCCCCCAUGUUCAGGUUAAGGACUGGCCAUAUGGGUUUAGUGCCUUUGGUCAGGUUAAGGACUGUCCAUAGGGGUUUUGUGCUCCGAUUGGUCAGGGUAAGGACUGUCCAUACUGGUGUUUCGUGCUCCAGUUGGUCAGGUUAGGACUGUCCAAGUGAAUCUUGGUCAGAUUAUCAGUGCCAGUUCAGAAUCAGUGCAGCUAAUAGGGUGUGACAUAUGAGUAGGCAUGAUGCUUGUCAUAUACUGUAAAUGGACUCUUCACAACCCCGAACCCCUCUCCCACAAAAAUAAAUGAUUGUGUUUAAUAUUGUGUUUGUCGAGAAAGUGGAGGGAAAAAAUCAACAACUUGAG
This is a non-coding RNA of Paramuricea clavata, 854 nucleotides long. The record is from the annotation of a GenBank genome assembly. NCBI's taxonomy places the organism in Eukaryota, Metazoa, Cnidaria, Anthozoa, Malacalcyonacea, Plexauridae.